UAGGCCAUUGGUUUUAGUCCUGGAGAUGGGCA
RNAcentral lists this non-coding RNA (32 nucleotides) under Homo sapiens (human). Lineage: Eukaryota; Metazoa; Chordata; Mammalia; Primates; Hominidae. The record is from RNAcentral.